CAACAAGGCUCCCUGGCCCUCGAAGCUCCGGCGGAGGGGUGCCACAGCCUGACUUUAUACCCACCCUUUGCCUAUGUGUACCCCUAUUGCUUCCCUCGGCGGGCUCGCCCGCCGACAGGAACCAACUAAACCCUUUGCAUUAUACAUUUAACACUUCCGAUACAAAACUAAAUUAUUA
RNAcentral lists this unclassified non-coding RNA (178 nucleotides) under uncultured Periconia. RNAcentral describes it as "sequence contains ITS1". The record is from RNAcentral. Lineage: Eukaryota; Fungi; Ascomycota; Sordariomycetes; Microascales; Halosphaeriaceae.